Molecule: long non-coding RNA, 343 nt
Filed under: Homo sapiens (human)
Lineage: Eukaryota; Metazoa; Chordata; Mammalia; Primates; Hominidae
Description: non-protein coding DNAJC27-AS1:18
Source: RNAcentral
GACGUCAUCUGCAGGCCCUGGAGACGCGACUGCAGUUACCGAGUUUCUAAGGCCUCGUCCCCUGACGGGAAGGCGGCGUUGGGGGGCGGCUGGGUUUACCCUUCGAGAGUCCGUGUGAGAACCGGGACACCUGUCCUGUUGAAAAGGGGGACGCAAAAGCUGAAAAUGCCCGGAAGGAUAUGGCUUCCUUGAACUGCGGGACGUGUAGCUGCAGCUGUGGGGUGGACCAUGGAAACAGGUACCCAAAGUACCUUGAUAAAACACAUACCAGAGUAAGGGAAGGAGGAUGGGAAGGAGAGAGAUUCUAAGAAGAUGCAGGAGUUGGCCAGGCGCUGUGGCUCAC